GACCGCGUAGCUCAGUUGGCAGAGCAUUGGGCUAGUAUUCCAAAGGUCGUAGGUUCGAUUCUCACCGUGGUCA
This 73-nucleotide transfer RNA is filed under the name Paramuricea clavata. It matches the Rfam family "tRNA". From Rfam's summary of the family: Transfer RNA (tRNA) molecules are approximately 80 nucleotides in length. Their secondary structure includes four short double-helical elements and three loops (D, anti-codon, and T loops). The record is from Rfam by way of RNAcentral. Lineage: Eukaryota; Metazoa; Cnidaria; Anthozoa; Malacalcyonacea; Plexauridae.